GACGAACGCUGGCGGCGUGCUUAACACAUGCAAGUCGAACGGAAAGGCCCUGCUUUUGUGGGGUGCUCGAGUGGCGAACGGGUGAGUAACACGUGAGUAACCUGCCCUUGACUUUGGGAUAACUUCAGGAAACUGGGGCUAAUACCGGAUAGGAGCUCCUGCUGCAUGGUGGGGGUUGGAAAGUUUCGGCGGUUGGGGAUGGACUCGCGGCUUAUCAGCUUGUUGGUGGGGUAGUGGCUUACCAAGGCUUUGACGGGUAGCCGGCCUGAGAGGGUGACCGGCCACAUUGGGACUGAGGUACGGCCCAGACUCCUACGGGAGGCAGAAGUGGGGAAUAUUGCACAAUGGGCGGAAGCCUGAUGCAGCAGCGCCGCGUGCGGGAUGACGGCCUUCGGGUUGUAAACCGCUUUCGCCUGUGACGAAGCGUGAGUGACGGUAAUGGGUAAAGAAGCACCGGCUAACUACGUG
This 468-nucleotide ribosomal RNA is filed under the name uncultured bacterium. RNAcentral describes it as "partial 16S ribosomal RNA". It matches the Rfam family "Bacterial small subunit ribosomal RNA", at positions 28 to 507 of the family's 1533-position model. The record is from RNAcentral.